RNAcentral lists this ribosomal RNA (299 nucleotides) under uncultured bacterium. RNAcentral's name for it is "partial 16S ribosomal RNA". It matches the Rfam family "Bacterial small subunit ribosomal RNA", at positions 29 to 334 of the family's 1533-position model. The record is from RNAcentral.
AAUGAACGUUGGCGGUGCGCCUAACACAUGCAAGUCGAGCGAGAAAUUUUCUUCGGAAAGAGUAGAGCGGCGGACGGUUGAGUAACACGUGAGAAUUUGCCCUUUAGUGAAGAAUACCUUCGGGAAGUUGAAGUUAAUACUGCAUAAGUCCCUUCGGGGAGAAAGGUGGCAUAUUGCUGCCGCUAAAGGAUAAGCUUGCGGGCCAUCAGCUUGUUGGUAAGGUAAAGGCUUACCAAGGCAAUGACGGCUAGCCGGCCUGAGAGGGUGAUCGGCCAGACUGGAACUUAGACACGGUCCAG